UCAUGGAUCUCCUCUCCCAGU
This 21-nucleotide microRNA is filed under the name Sus scrofa (pig). Its description in RNAcentral is "ssc-mir62". Lineage: Eukaryota; Metazoa; Chordata; Mammalia; Artiodactyla; Suidae. The record is from RNAcentral.